Papilio polytes (common Mormon) is the source of this 243-nucleotide long non-coding RNA. RefSeq lists it as uncharacterized. The transcript has 3 exons. Lineage: Eukaryota; Metazoa; Arthropoda; Insecta; Lepidoptera; Papilionidae. The record is from RefSeq and is a predicted model, not a curated record.
CAAUAUCCAAUCUAAGACAUUAUUUUUUCCUUCCUUCCCUUUUAGUGUGAUCUAAUAUUGUCUGUCAGUUGUAACUGUAACGUUGUCAGGACCUGGGCAGCGACAUCAAGAAGGAGAAGGUGUUCCUGGUGUGUCACGUGGUGCGCAUCGGCUCCAUGGAGGCGCAGAACCUCGACCACAGGGCUAGUCUAUCGCCGUACACCAGAAGUAAGCUAUCCAGACGCAGCUCCGUGGCGGGCGGGG